GAUGAACGCUGGCGGCGUGCCUAAUACAUGCAAGUCGAGCGAACGGACGAGAAGCUUGCUUCUCUGAUGUUAGCGGCGGACGGGUGAGUAACACGUGGAUAACCUACCUAUAAGACUGGGAUAACUUCGGGAAACCGGAUCUAAUACCGGAUAAUAUUUUGAACCGCAUGGUUCAAAAGUGAAAGACGGUCUUGCUGUCACUUAUAGAUGGAUCCGCGCUGCAUUAGCUAGUUGGUAAGGUAACGGCUUACCAAGGCAACGAUGCAUAGCCGACCUGAGAGGGUGAUCGGCCACACUGGAACUGAGACACGGUCCAGACUCCUACGGGAGGCAGCAGUAGGGAAUCUUCCGCAAUGGGCGAAAGCCUGACGGAGCAACGCCGCGUGAGUGAUGAAGGUCUUCGGAUCGUAAAACUCUGUUAUUAGGGAAGAACAUAUGUAUAAGUAAAUGUGCACAUCUUGACGGUACCUAAUCAGAAAGCAACGGCUAACUACGUG
Molecule: ribosomal RNA, 497 nt
Filed under: uncultured bacterium
Lineage: Bacteria
Description: partial 16S ribosomal RNA
Rfam family: Bacterial small subunit ribosomal RNA
Source: RNAcentral